RNAcentral lists this ribosomal RNA (371 nucleotides) under Citrobacter freundii. RNAcentral describes it as "partial 23S ribosomal RNA". It matches the Rfam family "Bacterial large subunit ribosomal RNA", at positions 890 to 1258 of the family's 2925-position model. RNAcentral also lists the same sequence under 3 other names. Lineage: Bacteria; Pseudomonadati; Pseudomonadota; Gammaproteobacteria; Enterobacterales; Enterobacteriaceae. The record is from RNAcentral.
UCAUCUUCGGGGGUAGAGCACUGUUUCGGCUAGGGGGUCAUCCCGACUUACCAACCCGAUGCAAACUGCGAAUACCGAAGAAUGUUAUCACGGGAGACACACGGCGGGUGCUAACGUCCGUCGUGAAGAGGGAAACAACCCAGACCGCCAGCUAAGGUCCCAAAGUCAUGGUUAAGUGGGAAACGAUGUGGGAAGGCACAGACAGCCAGGAUGUUGGCUUAGAAGCAGCCAUCAUUUAAAGAAAGCGUAAUAGCUCACUGGUCGAGUCGGCCUGCGCGGAAGAUGUAACGGGGCUAAACCAUGCACCGAAGCUGCGGCAGCGACACUAUGUGUUGUUGGGUAGGGGAGCGUUCUGUAAGCCGUUGAAGGUG